RNAcentral lists this ribosomal RNA (438 nucleotides) under uncultured bacterium. Its description in RNAcentral is "bacterial SSU rRNA". It matches the Rfam family "Bacterial small subunit ribosomal RNA", at positions 859 to 1295 of the family's 1533-position model. The record is from RNAcentral.
AAUAAGUAGACCGCCUGGGGAGUACGGCCGCAAGGUUAAAACUCAAAUGAAUUGACGGGGGCCCGCACAANCGGUGGAGCAUGUGGUUUAAUUCGAUGCAACGCGGAAGAACCUUACCUGGUCUUGACAUAUCUAGAAUCCUGCAGAGAUGCGGGAGUGCCUUCGGGAAUUAGAAUACAGGUGCUGCAUGGCUGUCGUCAGCUCGUGUCGUGAGAUGUUGGGUUAAGUCCCGCAACGAGCGCAACCCUUGUCCUUAGUUACCAGCGGUUUGGCCGGGAACUCUAAGGAUACUGCCAGUGACAAACUGGAGGAAGGCGGGGACGACGUCAAGUCAUCAUGGCCCUUACGACCAGGGCUACACACGUGCUACAGUGGUAGGUACAAAGGGUUGCUACACAGCGAUGUGCUGCGAAUCUCAAAAAGCCUAUCUGUAGUCCA